AAGCGUUGGCAGCUCUUUUAGAAUUUGUCUAGCAGGUUUUCUGAUUUUCACUAGAGGUCCCCC
Molecule: small nuclear RNA, 63 nt
Organism: Pongo abelii (Sumatran orangutan)
Lineage: Eukaryota; Metazoa; Chordata; Mammalia; Primates; Hominidae
Gene: U7
Rfam family: U7 small nuclear RNA
About the family: Animal histone pre-mRNAs are spliced by a different mechanism than nuclear pre-mRNAs and self-splicing introns.
Source: Ensembl